This 371-nucleotide ribosomal RNA is filed under the name uncultured Smithella sp. RNAcentral describes it as "bacterial SSU rRNA". It matches the Rfam family "Bacterial small subunit ribosomal RNA", at positions 1014 to 1382 of the family's 1533-position model. The record is from RNAcentral. Lineage: Bacteria; Pseudomonadati; Thermodesulfobacteriota; Syntrophia; Syntrophales; Smithellaceae.
CCCCUUCGGGGAGGCGUCGGAAGACAGGUGCUGCAUGGCUGUCGUCAGCUCGUGUCGUGAGAUGUUGGGUUAAGUCCCGCGAAACGACGCGCAACCCUUGUCUUAAUUGCCAGCAUUCAGUUGGCACUUUAAAGAGACUGCCGGUGUUAAGCCGGAGGAAGGUGGGAUGACGUCAAGUCCUCAUGGCCUUAUGCCCAGGGCUACACACGUGCUACAAUGGGUGGUACAAAGAGAUGCCAACUCGCGAGAGCGCGCCAAUCUCAGAAAGCCAUCCUCAGUUCGGAUUGGAGUCUGCAACUCGACUCCAUGAAGUUGGAAUCGCUAGUAAUCGCGGAUCAGCACGCCCGCGGUCGAAUACGUUCCCGGGCCUU